Vanessa atalanta (red admiral) is the source of this 739-nucleotide long non-coding RNA. RefSeq lists it as uncharacterized. The transcript is spliced from 4 exons. The record is from RefSeq and is a predicted model, not a curated record. NCBI's taxonomy places the organism in Eukaryota, Metazoa, Arthropoda, Insecta, Lepidoptera, Nymphalidae.
UGAUUUUUACUAUAGAUUUUACAAAAUAAAACAUUUAAAAUGGGCUGUUGCGAAAGUGAUACGAGUUGCUGUAAAACAUAUUUUUCUAUGUUUAAAAAUCUUCAUGUUCUCUACAUAUCUGCGAUACUAAUAGUUUUGAUUAUGUACUUAUCAUGGUCACUGUACGAGUGCCAAAUACGAUGUUAAGCUGAAGUUGGUAAAAUAUUUUCCAAAUCAAAUUUUAAUAAGAAGAUAAAAAUAGCAAGUUACGUUUACCAUUUGUCGUAAAUGUAAUAAAGCACGAUGACUCGUUGUAAAACAUGCGUUGAUCGCGAUUGGAAUCAACUCUUCAAUGAAAAUAGGGUCCGUGGACUUUUUUUGGGAUUGAUUCUUAUUGCAAUUAUAUUGUACUACCGAAUCUAUCGCUGCUAUCAUCCAAGACGUCGAUUGUUUUCUAUUUUAUGAUAGACCUUGGCUUUGUUUGCGACGGUCAACAUAAAAUUUAAUAAAAUUGGUUUGCACAAAAACUAUUGAAUCCCAGAUUAGAAUUAUACGAACAAAGUCAGCACUUUGUUCUUAAAGGGAAAAUAUGUUAUGAUAUUUGGAAACGAGCUCAUAUGCUUUAUUAACGCCAAGAAAAUACUAGGAAGAAGAAAUAAAUAUGUGUUUAUAAAAACGUUUUCCUUGACCAUCGAGGUGAAGUGGCUAUUUGGAUCACAGAGGAGGUUAUAAGGAUGGUCGAAUUCAACAAUUUCUCCGC